RNAcentral lists this ribosomal RNA (457 nucleotides) under Acinetobacter sp. oral taxon A58. RNAcentral describes it as "bacterial SSU rRNA". It matches the Rfam family "Bacterial small subunit ribosomal RNA", at positions 30 to 480 of the family's 1533-position model. Lineage: Bacteria; Pseudomonadati; Pseudomonadota; Gammaproteobacteria; Moraxellales; Moraxellaceae. The record is from RNAcentral.
AUUGAACGCUGGCGGCAGGCUUAACACAUGCAAGUCGAGCGGGGAAGGGUAGCUUGCUACCUGACCUAGCGGCGGACGGGUGAGUAAUGCUUAGGAAUCUGCCUAUUAGUGGGGGACAACAUUCCGAAAGGAAUGCUAAUACCGCAUACGCCCUACGGGGGAAAGCAGGGGAUCUUCGGACCUUGCGCUAAUAGAUGAGCCUAAGUCAGAUUAGCUAGUUGGUGGGGUAAAGGCCUACCAAGGCGACGAUCUGUAGCGGGUCUGAGAGGAUGAUCCGCCACACUGGGACUGAGACACGGCCCAGACUCCUACGGGAGGCAGCAGUGGGGAAUAUUGGACAAUGGGCGAAAGCCUGAUCCAGCCAUGCCGCGUGUGUGAAGAAGGCCUUUUGGUUGUAAAGCACUUUAAGCGAGGAGGAGGCUACCGAGAUUAAUACUCUUGGAUAGUGGACGUACUC